CAAAACCCUUCUUGGCCAAGAACAAGCAAAAAUGAAAGGGAAUUUAAUGAUUUGUUGAUGCAUGAAACUCAAUCCUUAAUCAUCUUAACCAUCUUAACAAACGGGAUAAAGGAAAAAAGUUCAAGUCACACAAAGCAAGAAGGAAAUCAAGACCGAGGUAAAACUCAAGUUUAAAAUGGUCAAGCUUCGCUCGGAUCAAACACAUUUUGAAUGCCCUUCAUGCGCUUCCGCAAUUUUUGUAAAAGAUGUUAAUGGGUCAAAAUACUUUUGUUAAAAUGGCUUAUGUCUAGUAGUUAGACC
Helianthus annuus (common sunflower) is the source of this 300-nucleotide long non-coding RNA. RefSeq lists it as uncharacterized. The record is from RefSeq and is a predicted model, not a curated record. Lineage: Eukaryota; Viridiplantae; Streptophyta; Magnoliopsida; Asterales; Asteraceae. The transcript is spliced from 3 exons.